This 67-nucleotide transfer RNA is filed under the name Abidama producta. RNAcentral describes it as "tRNA-Ile". The record is from RNAcentral. Lineage: Eukaryota; Metazoa; Arthropoda; Insecta; Hemiptera; Cercopidae.
AAUAAGAUGCCUGAUUAAAGGAUUAUUUUGAUGUAAUAAAUUAUGUAAACUAAAAUUACUCUUAUUA